CGUAGGGUGCGAGCGUUGUCCGGAAUUAUUGGGCGUAAAGGGCUCGUAGGCGGUCUGUCACGUCGGGAGUGAAAACUCGGGGCUUAACCCCGAGCCUGCUUCCGAUACGGGCAGACUAGAGGUAUGCAGGGGAGAACGGAAUUCCUGGUGUAGCGGUGAAAUGCGCAGAUAUCAGGAGGAACACCGGUGGCGAAGGCGGUUCUCUGGGCAUUACCUGACGCUGAGGAGCGAAAGUGUGGGGAGCGAACAGGAUUAGAUACCCUGGUAGUCCACACCGUAAACGUUGGGCGCUAGGUGUGGGACUCAUUCCACGAGUUCCGUGCCGCAGCUAACGCAUUAAGCGCCCCGCCUGGGGAGUACGGCCGCAAGGCUA
This 373-nucleotide ribosomal RNA is filed under the name uncultured organism. RNAcentral describes it as "bacterial SSU rRNA". It matches the Rfam family "Bacterial small subunit ribosomal RNA", at positions 526 to 896 of the family's 1533-position model. The record is from RNAcentral.